This 405-nucleotide ribosomal RNA is filed under the name uncultured bacterium. RNAcentral's name for it is "partial 16S ribosomal RNA". It matches the Rfam family "Bacterial small subunit ribosomal RNA", at positions 28 to 526 of the family's 1533-position model. The record is from RNAcentral.
GAUGAACGCUGGCGGCGUGCCUAAUACAUGCAAGUCGAGCGAAGCGGGGACGGGUGUGUAACACGUGGAUAACCUCCUAUAAGAUUGGGAUAACUUAGGGAAACCGGAGCUAAACCGGAUUAUUAUAGAUGGCUCCGCGCUGCAUUAGCUAGUUGGUAAGGUAACGGCUUACCAAGGCAACGAUGCAUAGCCGACCUGAGCGGGGGUUGGGCCACACUGGAAAUGUGACACGGUCCAGGCUCCUACGGGAGGCGGCAGUGGGGAAUGUUGCGCAAUGGGCGAAGGCCUGACGAAGCAAUGCCGCGUGGGUGAUGAGGGUAUUCGGUUCGUAAAACUCUGUUGUUAGGGAGACGGUACCUAAUCAGAAAGCCACGGGUGACGACGAGCCAGCAGCCGCGGUAAUAC